RNAcentral lists this ribosomal RNA (253 nucleotides) under uncultured bacterium. RNAcentral's name for it is "partial 16S ribosomal RNA". It matches the Rfam family "Bacterial small subunit ribosomal RNA", at positions 524 to 776 of the family's 1533-position model. The record is from RNAcentral.
UACGGAGGGUGCGAGCGUUAAUCGGAAUUACUGGGCGUAAAGCGCACGUAGGUGGUUUGGUAAGUCGGAUGUGAAAUCCCAGGGCUCAACCUUGGAAUUGCAUUCGAUACUGCCUCACUAGAGUACGAUAGAGGAAGGUAGAAUUCCCGGUGUAGCGGUGAAAUGCGUAGAUAUGCUGUAGAACACCAAUUGCGAAGGCAGCUUACUAUACCAAUACUGACGUUCAGGCACGAAAGCGUGGGGAGCGAACAGG